GGGCACAGGUGCAGCAUGCCAACAAUAAGUAAUAAUAAGCAUCUAAUAAUGCUGAUAAAUCUUAGUUUGAAAUGAUGCAUAGAGUCAAUAAAAGACAGAGUGUGUGAUCACCUAAACUAAGUCACACACACUCUGUUUAAGGCCCCCUGCCGCCGUUGCAUCAUGGUCCUAUAUUUAAAUGUGGGUGAGCACAACUUGUAGACAGGUGAAUGCAUCAGACACAAAACAGCUGAUUUCAGGAUAUCACAGCUCGGAUAAAGCAUGUAGUUACAGGCCUCAUGUUCACACCGCCGCCACGCCGGAGCACAUUCGCUGUCUAGCCGACACUGAGAGCGCGCUGCCGGGGCCCGGCGGAGUCCACUGAGCGGUGCCACGAUGCGGUGCCACAAGUUUUGGGGACCAUGUUCGAUGGUUGGAUAUUAUAUUUGUGCGGCCAUGCUUUUCAAAGGUAUGUUUAUGGGGGAAAGUCGCUCUUUAGGUUUUUUGCUAAAUUACAAAGUUUUUUUGUUUUUAAAUCCCUUCAGUGAGUGCCUGAGUCUGUUUAGGUAAAAGUGACUGAGAAAUGGAGGAUUUAGUUUUGACUGAAAAACAAUUUUUUUUUUUAGCUCAUAUUGCCCCUUUUCUGUUAUUCCUGAAACGACUAAUGCGAUUUGGUAUGGUCUUUUUAGGAAGCCCUUUUCAAGAUUAAGCAAUUUAUUGUUUCGCAUUGGAAACUCUUCCAAUUAAAGGCAGUGUUUAUACCUUUAUUUAUUUAUGCUGCUGUAUUUUGCUCACCGGACUGAAUCGAAUUUGUUUUGUGGAGUCAGCAAAUGUCCUAUAGAAUAAGUGGCGUGAAUUUAACCCCCCCCGCAACCACCUCUUUCUGCACCCUAAAUGGUACUUCUCAACACUUUGGUCCACAUACACUCAUGCACUUUUGUUAGAGGGUGAUUUAAUACGCUAAGAGUUAUUUUUAAACACUGAGCAAACGUCUGUGUGCAUUUGUGUGUGUGUGUGAUAAGAGUGUGUGCAUUAAUGUUCGCUCAUUCGUGUGCAAUGAGAUGAGCAUGCAUGACUCUAAUUCUCUCCUAAGCCCCAUCCCAUCAUCAUCAUCACCAUCAGCAUCAUCAUCUGUAACAUCUGGGUUGUUUACUUACCAGUAUGUGACACAGCGGCUUUGCUGAAGAUAUGCUUUUAACCCCUCUAUGAAGGCAUGUGUGCGUGUGUGUGUGUGUUUGUGUGUGUGUGUGUGUGUGUGUGUGUGUGUGUGUGUGUGUGUGUGUGUGUGUGUGUCCACUGUGUGCCAACAUUAAACCUUCCUCCUUCCACUGUCUUCUCAACAGCAAUUCAGUAAGGACUUGUUUGUUGG
RNAcentral lists this long non-coding RNA (1348 nucleotides) under Dicentrarchus labrax (European seabass). Its description in RNAcentral is "lncRNA (ENSDLAG00005028207.1)". The record is from RNAcentral. Lineage: Eukaryota; Metazoa; Chordata; Actinopteri; Moronidae.